GGCCCGUUGGCUCAGUUGGUUAGAGCGUCGUGCUAAUAACGCGAAGGUCGUGGGUUCGAUCCCCCCACGGGCCA
This 74-nucleotide transfer RNA is filed under the name Schistocerca americana (American grasshopper). RNAcentral describes it as "tRNA-Ile". It matches the Rfam family "tRNA". From Rfam's summary of the family: Transfer RNA (tRNA) molecules are approximately 80 nucleotides in length. Their secondary structure includes four short double-helical elements and three loops (D, anti-codon, and T loops). Lineage: Eukaryota; Metazoa; Arthropoda; Insecta; Orthoptera; Acrididae. RNAcentral also lists the same sequence under 1 other name. The record is from RNAcentral.